AUACGGAGGGUGCAAGCGUUGUUCGGAUUCACUGGGUAUAAAGGGUGCGCAGGCGGUCUGAUAAGUCAGAGGUGAAAUAUGCCGGCUCAACCGGCAAACGGCCCCUGAAACUGUCAGACUUGAGUCCGGGAGAGGUAGGUGGUAUUCCAGGUGUAGCAGUGAAAUGCGUAAAUAUCUGGAGGAACACCGGUGGCGAAGGCGGCCUACUGGCCCGGAACUGACGCUCAGGCACGAAAGCAUGGGGAGCGAACGGGAUUAGAUACCCCGGUAGUCC
This 274-nucleotide ribosomal RNA is filed under the name uncultured bacterium. RNAcentral describes it as "partial 16S ribosomal RNA". It matches the Rfam family "Bacterial small subunit ribosomal RNA", at positions 523 to 796 of the family's 1533-position model. The record is from RNAcentral.